UUUGACCUGAAAUCAGGUAGG
Molecule: ribosomal RNA, 21 nt
Filed under: Papiliotrema flavescens
Lineage: Eukaryota; Fungi; Basidiomycota; Tremellomycetes; Tremellales; Rhynchogastremaceae
Description: partial 26S rRNA
Source: RNAcentral